Molecule: ribosomal RNA, 552 nt
Filed under: uncultured bacterium
Lineage: Bacteria
Description: bacterial SSU rRNA
Rfam family: Bacterial small subunit ribosomal RNA
Source: RNAcentral
UGCUGAUUUGCUGACGAGUGGCGGACGGGUGAGUAAUGUCUGGGAAACUGCCUGAUGGAGGGGGAUAACUACUGGAAACGGUAGCUAAUACCGCAUAACGUCGCAAGACCAAAGAGGGGGACCUUCGGGCCUCUUGCCAUCGGAUGUGCCCAGAUGGGAUUAGCUAGUAGGUGGGGUAACGGCUCACCUAGGCGACGAUCCCUAGCUGGUCUGAGAGGAUGACCAGCCACACUGGAACUGAGACACGGUCCAGACUCCUACGGGAGGCAGCAGUGGGGAAUAUUGCACAAUGGGCGCAAGCCUGAUGCAGCCAUGCCGCGUGUAUGAAGAAGGCCUUCGGGUUGUAAAGUACUUUCAGCGGGGAGGAAGGGAGUAAAGUUAAUACCUUUGCUCAUUGACGUUACCCGCAGAAGAAGCACCGGCUAACUCCGUGCCAGCAGCCGCGGUAAUACGGAGGGUGCAAGCGUUAAUCGGAAUUACUGGGCGUAAAGCGCACGCAGGCGGUUUGUUAAGUCAGAUGUGAAAUCCCCGGGCUCAACCUGGGAACUGCAU